UACGGAGGAUCCAAGCGUUAUCCGGAAUCAUUGGGUUUAAAGGGUCCGUAGGCGGCCUUAUAAGUCAGUGGUGAAAUCUCACGGCUCAACCGUGAAAUGGCCAUUGAUACUGUAGGGCUUGAAUUACCAGGAAGUAACUAGAAUAUGUAGUGUAGCGGUGAAAUGCUUAGAUAUUACAUGGAAUACCGAUUGCGAAGGCAGGUUACUACUGGUGGAUUGGCGCUGAUGGACGAAAGCGUGGGUAGCGAACAGG
RNAcentral lists this ribosomal RNA (253 nucleotides) under uncultured bacterium. RNAcentral's name for it is "partial 16S ribosomal RNA". It matches the Rfam family "Bacterial small subunit ribosomal RNA", at positions 524 to 776 of the family's 1533-position model. The record is from RNAcentral.